GACGAACGCUGGCGGCGUGCUUAACACAUGCAAGUCGAACGGAAAGGCCCUGCUUUUGUGGGGUGCUCGGGUGGCGAACGGGUGAGUAACACGUGAGUAACCUGCCCUUGACUUUGGGAUAACUUCAGGAAACUGGGGCUAAUACCGGAUAGGAGCUCCUGCUGCAUGGUGGGGGUUGGAAAGUUUCGGCGGUUGGGGAUGGACUCGCGGCUUAUCAGCUUGUUGGUGGGGUAGUGGCUUACCAAGGCUUUGACGGGUAGCCGGCCUGAGAGGGUGACCGGCCACAUUGGGACUGAGAUACGGCCCAGACUCCUACGGGAGGCAGCAGUGGGGAAUAUUGCACUAUGGGCGGAAGCCUGAUGCAGCAACGCCGCGUGCGGGAUGACGGCCUUCGGGUUGUAAACCGCUUUCGCCUGUGACGAAGCGUGAGUGACGGUAAUGGGUAAAGAAGCACCGGCUAACUACGUG
This 468-nucleotide ribosomal RNA is filed under the name uncultured bacterium. RNAcentral describes it as "partial 16S ribosomal RNA". It matches the Rfam family "Bacterial small subunit ribosomal RNA", at positions 28 to 507 of the family's 1533-position model. The record is from RNAcentral.